RNAcentral lists this ribosomal RNA (494 nucleotides) under uncultured bacterium. RNAcentral's name for it is "partial 16S ribosomal RNA". It matches the Rfam family "Bacterial small subunit ribosomal RNA", at positions 28 to 507 of the family's 1533-position model. The record is from RNAcentral.
GACGAACGCUGGCGGCGUGCUUAACACAUGCAAGUCGAACGGUGAAGCGCCUUCCUUUUUGGUGGGUGUGGAUGAGUGGCGAACGGGUGAGUAACACGUGAGUAACCUGCCCCCUUCUUCUGGAUAACCGCAUGAAAGUGUGGCUAAUACGUGAUAUUCUGGGUCUGUCGCAUGAUGGGUCUGGGAAAGAUAUUGUUUCGGUGGGGGAUGGGCUCGCGGCCUAUCAGCCUGUUGGUGGGGUGAUGGCCUACCAAGGCGGUGACGGGUAGCCGGCCUGAGAGGGUGGACGGUCACACUGGGACUGAGACACGGCCCAGACUCCUACGGGAGGCAGCAGUGGGGAAUAUUGCACAAUGGGCGCAAGCCUGAUGCAGCGACGCCGCGUGAGGGAUGGAGGCCUUCGGGUUGUGAACCUCUUUCGCCAGUGAAGCAGGCCUGCCUCGUUUGUGGGUGGGUUGACGGUAGCUGGAUAAGAAGCGCCGGCUAACUACGUG